GGUGAGUACAGCUCAGUGGCAGAACUUGUGCAUGGCAUGCACAAGGUUUGGGUUCAAUCCCCAGUACCACCA
Molecule: transfer RNA, 72 nt
Filed under: Camelus bactrianus (Bactrian camel)
Lineage: Eukaryota; Metazoa; Chordata; Mammalia; Artiodactyla; Camelidae
Also listed under: 2 other names
Rfam family: tRNA
About the family: Transfer RNA (tRNA) molecules are approximately 80 nucleotides in length. Their secondary structure includes four short double-helical elements and three loops (D, anti-codon, and T loops). Further hydrogen bonds mediate the characteristic L-shaped molecular structure. tRNAs have two regions of fundamental functional importance: the anti-codon, which is responsible for specific mRNA codon recognition, and the 3' end, to which the tRNAs corresponding amino acid is attached (by aminoacyl-tRNA synthetases). tRNAs cope with the degeneracy of the genetic code in two manners: having more than one tRNA (with a specific anti-codon) for a particular amino acid; and 'wobble' base-pairing, i.e. permitting non-standard base-pairing at the 3rd anti-codon position.
Source: Rfam by way of RNAcentral